Molecule: ribosomal RNA, 298 nt
Filed under: uncultured Bacteroidota bacterium
Lineage: Bacteria; Pseudomonadati; Bacteroidota
Description: uncultured Bacteroidetes bacterium partial 16S ribosomal RNA
Rfam family: Bacterial small subunit ribosomal RNA
Source: RNAcentral
AGGUGAAGUUUGCAGCUCAACUGUAAAAUUGCCUUUGAACUGGUAGUCUUGAAUUAUUAUGAAGUGGUUAGAAUAAGUAGUGUAGCGGUGAAAUGCAUAGAUAUUACUUAGAAUACCAAUUGCGAAGGCAGAUCACUAAUAAUAUAUUGACGCUGAGGGACGAAAGCGUGGGGAGCGAACAGGAUUAGAUACCCUGGUAGUCCACGCCGUAAACGAUGGAUACUAGCUGUUCGGAUUUAUCUGAGUGGCUAAGCGAAAGUGAUAAGUAUCCCACCUGGGGAGUACGUUCGCAAGAAUG